This 522-nucleotide ribosomal RNA is filed under the name uncultured bacterium. RNAcentral's name for it is "bacterial SSU rRNA". It matches the Rfam family "Bacterial small subunit ribosomal RNA", at positions 553 to 1074 of the family's 1533-position model. The record is from RNAcentral.
ACUGGGCGUAAAGCGAGCGCAGACGGUUACUUAAGCAGGAUGUGAAAUCCCCGGGCUCAACCUGGGAACUGCGUUCUGAACUGGGUGACUAGAGUGUGUCAGAGGGAGGUAGAAUUCCACGUGUAGCAGUGAAAUGCGUAGAGAUGUGGAGGAAUACCGAUGGCGAAGGCAGCCUCCUGGGAUAACACUGACGUUCAUGCUCGAAAGCGUGGGUAGCAAACAGGAUUAGAUACCCUGGUAGUCCACGCCCUAAACGAUGUCAAUUAGCUGUUGGGCAACUUGAUUGCUUAGUAGCGUAGCUAACGCGUGAAAUUGACCGCCUGGGGAGUACGGUCGCAAGAUUAAAACUCAAAGGAAUUGACGGGGACCCGCACAAGCGGUGGAUGAUGUGGAUUAAUUCGAUGCAACGCGAAGAACCUUACCUGGUCUUGACAUGUACGGAAUCCUCCAGAGAGGGAGGAGUGCCUUCGGGAGCCGUAACACAGGUGCUGCAUGGCUGUCGUCAGCUCGUGUCGUGAGAAG